RNAcentral lists this ribosomal RNA (374 nucleotides) under uncultured eukaryote. Its description in RNAcentral is "partial 18S ribosomal RNA". It matches the Rfam family "Eukaryotic small subunit ribosomal RNA", at positions 592 to 976 of the family's 1831-position model. The record is from RNAcentral.
CAAGAGCGUAUGUAAAAGUUGCUGCAGUUAAAAAGCUCGUAGUUGAACCUUGGGUUUGGUUGGCCGGUCCGCUUUUUUGCGAGUACUGGAUUCAACCGAGCCUUUCCUUCUGGCUAACCAGUCGUUUCGGCGGCUGGCGAACCAGGAUUUUUACUUUGAGAAAAUUAGAGUGUUCAAAGCAGGCAUUAGCUUGAAUAUAUUAGCAUGGAAUAAUAGAAUAGGACGUUAUGGUUCUAUUUUGUUGGUUUCUAGGACCAUCGUAAUGAUUAAUAGGGACGGUCGGGGGCAUCAGUAUUCAGUUGUCAGAGGUGAAAUUCUUGGAUUUACUGAAGACUAACUACUGCGAAAGCAUUUGCCAAGGACGUUUUCAUUAA